GAGGGAGACGCGUUGUGGGAGGGUGCGCAGCAAGCCAGAGAGGACGCGAGGGGCAGGGCCUCAAGCAGGGAAAAGGCGGAGUCAGGGAGGGAGGGGGAGAGACUCUGCGUCAUAGAAAAGGGCGGGUUGAGGUGGCGCUUGCUGCUGGUUAAGACCAGACCUCUGCUGCUUUGUAGCAAACGCGCGUCUCCCGGUUUCACAAGUGGCUGACUCGUUAACCUCGUGGUUAGCUCAGUUUUUAAAAAAUAUGUAUAUUUUUAUUUUUAUUUUAUUUUUUGAGACGGAGUCUUGCUCUAGAGUCGCCCAGGCUGGAGUGCAGUGGCGCGAUCUCGGCUCACUGCAACCUCUGCCGCCCGGGUUCAAGCGAUUCUCCUGCCUCGGCCUCCGGAGUAGCCGGGAUUACAGGCACGUGCCGCCACGCCCGUCUAAUUUUUGUGUUUUUAGUAGAGACGGGGUUUCAGCAUCUUGGCUAGGCUGGUCUUGAACUCCUGACCACGUGAUCCAUCCGUCUCGGCCUCCCAAAGUGCUGGGAUUACAGGCGUGAGCCACCGCGCCCGGCCAAUAUUUUAAUUUUUUUAUUAAGAUGGAGUCUUGCUCUAUCGCCCAGGCUGGAGUGCAGUGGCGCGAUCACGGCUCACUACAACCUCCGCCUCCCGGGCUCAAGCGAUUCUCCUGCCUCAGCCUCCCGAGUAGCUGGGAUUACAGGCAUGUGCCACCAUGCCCAGACCCUGCACUUGAUGGAUCAGUUGGCACCACCCAGAUCAAUAAACUGGCUAAUAUGAGCUUGUGGCCCCCACCCAGGAACUGACUCAUUGCAAGAGGACAGCUUCAAUCCCCUAUGAUUUCAUCUCUGACCUGGCCAAUCAGCAUUCUUGACUCACCGCCCCCCGACCCCCCACCAAAUUAUCCUUUAAAACUCUGAUUCCUGAAUGCUUAGGGAGACUGAUUUGAGUAAUAAUAAAACUCCAGUCUCCUAUACAGCUGGCUCUGCAUGAAUUACUCUUUCUCUACUGCAAUUCUCCUGUCUUGAUAAAUUGGCUCUGUCUCCACAGAGCAAGGUGAAUCCACUGGGUGGUUACAUUUCUUCCAUACAAUAGCUGACUGCAUACAAUCAUUAACCAAAAUGAUCCAGGAUUGGAG
This 1140-nucleotide long non-coding RNA is filed under the name Homo sapiens (human). RNAcentral's name for it is "HSALNT0407107". Lineage: Eukaryota; Metazoa; Chordata; Mammalia; Primates; Hominidae. The record is from RNAcentral.